UUUAACACAACGUCCCAACUUCAUUGAAAUUGGGGUUGUAGUGCUCGCACUUUUACUACGAAAUCACAGAGUUGUAAUACGUGCAAUAUGUGGCUUGGCAUUGUCUUGCUAAAACAUGCAGGAACAUCCCUGAAAAAGACGUUGCUUGGAUGGCAGCAUAUGUUGUUUCAAAACCUGUAUGUACCUUUCAUCAUUAAUGGUGCCUUCACAGAUGUCCAAAUUACCCACUACCACCAUACCAAACCAUACCAUCACAAAUGCUGUCUUUUGGACUUUGUGUUGAUAAUAACCCAAAUAGUGCUUUUCUUUUUUGGCCCGGAGGACACAACAUCCAUGAUUUCACAAAACAAUUUGAAAUGUGGACUCGUCAGACCACAGCACACUUUUCCACUUUCCGUCUCAGAUGAGCUAGGGCCCAAAAAAGCCAGCAGUGAUUCUGGGUGCUGUUGAUAUAGGCUUUUGCUUUGCAUGGUAGAGUUUUAACUUGCAUUUGUAGAUGUAGUGACGAACCGUGUUCACUUGCAAUGGUUUUCUGAAAGUGUUCCUGAGCCCACGUGGCAAUAUCCUUUACACAAUGAUGCCGGUUUUUAAUGCAGUGCUGCCUGAGGGAUUGAAGGUCAAGGCAUUCAACGUUGGUUUUCUGACGCUUAAGUGCAGCGAUUUCUCUAGAUUCUCUGAAUCUUUUUAUAUGAUGGACCAUAGAUGAUGAAAUCCCUAAAUUCCUUGCAAUUGUAUCUUGAAAAACUGUUGGGACUAUUUGCUCACGCACUUAUUCACAAAGUGGUGAACCUUGCCCCGUUCUUGCUUGUGAACAACUUAGUCUUUCUGGGAUGCUUCUUUUAUACCCAAUUAUGACACUCACUUGUUUCCAAUUAACCUGUUUGGAAUGUUCCAAACAUGUUUUUUAAGCAUUCCAUAACGUUCCUCGUCUUUUGUUGCUCGUGUCCCAGCUUUUUGGAAUGAUACAAUAUUCCCAAACCAACCCCCCCAAAAAAUAACGUUCAUCAGUUUGAACGUUAACUCAUUCCCUGCCAAUGUCGUCCAAAGACGUCAUUCAGAAUCUAUCUAUUCCCUGCCAAUGCCGUCUAAAGACGUUAAUGCCGUUUUUUAACAGGGGAUGGGUGGGUGGGUGGGGGAGGGUCUUGUGCAGUUCAUGUGUGAUCGUCAAGCCUCUGGAUAACUGCAAUGUGGAAUGGCACCAUGUAGAGGGCAACAAUGCCUUGAGGUGAACGUCCCUUCCUCAGAUUGAAGAAGAGGAAGAAGAAGGAGGAGGGGGCGGGCCGGCCGGCGGGAUGCAACAGAAAAGGAGAAGAGACAAACAUAAUGGCGGAAAAGAGAGAAGACAAAAUGAAAAAUAUCCCCAAAAAAUUAAUAAUAACAAUAACCUUUCGGUACUAGAAAUUUAUUGCACCAAAGCAAGAAAAAUAUUCCUGCGACCGACAGGAAUGACGCCUUAGAUCAUGCAGGGGAAUGAAGGAUGACGCUCCGAGCCGAUCGCUUUGCUAAGUGAUCGCGCAAAAUGCCAUCCCAUACAUAUGGUGAGAUGCUCACGGCCGCUUGCCAGCUGAUCUUCUGCCGAUCAGGAUUUGAGUAAAUGGGAUGCGGAAUCGUGAUGAGUGAACUCCAUCUGGAUAACCAGCCGAGCUUCAUCCCGAGCUUCCUCCGACAAAAUUUACUCGUUUGCAGGUUGCGUUAGCGACAUUUAGCGAGCAAACACGCGCCUUCAAUCCUUGUUACAUGAAAACAAUUUAGUCCCACUCGUUCACUUUACAAUGUAAGAUCUGUUACCAGUACUGAUUUGAAUUUUCCAUUUUGUCCAUCUUGCAGGAAUUCAACACCCGCGAGUCAAACGUCUUUCAGGAUUGCGAUGAAGAGAAGUUAUACAGCCAGCAGACGUUCGACUCCCAUUCCAGUACGUAGUGCAGUCAGAAAAGGUUGUCACUACUUAUGCUUCAAGCAUAAGUAGUGACUGGUUUCAAGGAGAACGACAACCACACAAGAUCCCAUUCACUGCCAACAGAAAAAUAAAAUCUAGAUGUGGAUAAAACUUUGCUAGAUUUUAUGCGCAAGGUAAUAAAUACCUGGACGAUUGAGCAAACGGUAGAGGAGGAGAAUUUGGAGGAAAAAAGGUGCAAGUGUGGGAGGACAAUUUGUUCAUGCAUUUUUGUCUAAUGUAAAUUCUGUACAUCAUUAUACUUGUAAAUAAAUUAUUUUUCUGGCAUAAGUAAUUGUCAGUCAUUGUUCUGCUUGACACAUCAAGACACAUCAAGCAGAACAAUGACUGACACCAAUAUUUUGUUUUCUUUUGUGAGAAUGUCAAACAUCUGAAAAUAAAACAACACUACAAAAAGGCUGUUUUCUCCGUUUUUUUUCUUCCAGAAACAGAUUUGGCUGAA
This is a long non-coding RNA of Phyllopteryx taeniolatus (common seadragon), 2396 nucleotides long. RefSeq lists it as uncharacterized. The record is from RefSeq and is a predicted model, not a curated record. Lineage: Eukaryota; Metazoa; Chordata; Actinopteri; Syngnathiformes; Syngnathidae. The transcript has 3 exons.